RNAcentral lists this ribosomal RNA (253 nucleotides) under uncultured bacterium. RNAcentral describes it as "partial 16S ribosomal RNA". It matches the Rfam family "Bacterial small subunit ribosomal RNA", at positions 524 to 776 of the family's 1533-position model. The record is from RNAcentral.
UACGAAGGGGGCAAGCGUUGCUCGGAAUCACUGGGCGUAAAGGGUGCGUAGGCGGGCUUUUAAGUCAGGGGGGAAAUCCUGGAGCUCAACUCCAGAACUGCCUUUGAUACUGAAGAUCUUGAGUUCGGGAGAGGUGAGUGGAACUGCGAGUGUAGAGGUGAAAUUCGUAGAUAUUCGCAAGAACACCAGUGGCGAAGGCGGCUCACUGGCCCGAUACUGACGCUGAGGCACGAAAGCGUGGGGAGCAAACAGG